RNAcentral lists this ribosomal RNA (487 nucleotides) under uncultured bacterium. RNAcentral describes it as "partial 16S ribosomal RNA". It matches the Rfam family "Bacterial small subunit ribosomal RNA", at positions 355 to 852 of the family's 1533-position model. The record is from RNAcentral.
UGGGGAAUAUUGCACAAUGGGCGCAAGCCUGAUGCAGCGACGCCGCGUGAGGGAUGACGGCCUUCGGGUUGUAAACCUCUUUCAAUAGGGACGAAGCGCAAGUGACGGUACCUAUAGAAGAAGGACCGGCCAACUACGUGCCAGCAGCCGCGGUAAUACGUAGGGUCCGAGCGUUGUCCGGAAUUACUGGGCGUAAAGAGCUCGUAGGUGGUUUGUCGCGUUGUUCGUGAAAACUCACAGCUUAACUGUGGGCGUGCGGGCGAUACGGGCAGACUAGAGUACUGCAGGGGAGACUGGAAUUCCUGGUGUAGCGGUGGAAUGCGCAGAUAUCAGGAGGAACACCGGUGGCGAAGGCGGGUCUCUGGGCAGUAACUGACGCUGAGGAGCGAAAGCGUGGGGAGCGAACAGGAUUAGAUACCCUGGUAGUCCACGCCGUAAACGGUGGGUACUAGGUGUGGGUUUCCUUCCUUGGGAUCCGUGCCGUAGC